UGUUAAAAGUUUCAUUUAUUUGUGCUAUUAAUAAUUGGCAUGCUUGAUGGAAUUACAGACAAUAACACGUGUGUCACGUGUAUGCCAGCGUUUUUAACAGUAAAAAUGGAUGGAAUUUUUAAUA
This is a microRNA precursor of Gossypium arboreum, 124 nucleotides long. It matches the Rfam family "MIR7502 microRNA precursor family". NCBI's taxonomy places the organism in Eukaryota, Viridiplantae, Streptophyta, Magnoliopsida, Malvales, Malvaceae. The record is from Rfam.